CAGUCGCCACGGGAAUACAGAGGGUGCGGGCGUUAAUCGGAUUUACUGGGCGUAAAGCGUGCGUAGGCGGCUUCUUAAGUCGGAUGUGAAAUCCCUGAGCUUAACUUAGGAAUUGCAUUCGAUACUGGGAAGCUAGAGUAUGGGAGAGGAUGGUAGAAUUCCAGGUGUAGCGGUGAAAUGCGUAGAGAUCUGGAGGAAUACCGAUGGCGAAGGCAGCCAUCUGGCCUAAUACUGACGCUGAGGUACGAAAGCAUGGGGAGCAAACAGGAUUAGAUACCCGGGUAGUCCCUGUCUCUUAUAC
RNAcentral lists this ribosomal RNA (301 nucleotides) under uncultured bacterium. RNAcentral describes it as "partial 16S ribosomal RNA". It matches the Rfam family "Bacterial small subunit ribosomal RNA", at positions 509 to 807 of the family's 1533-position model. The record is from RNAcentral.